UACGGAGGGGGCUAGCGUUGUUCGGAAUUACUGGGCGUAAAGCGCGCGUAGGCGGACUGUUAAGUCGGGGGUGAAAUCCCGGGGCUCAACCCCGGAACUGCCUUCGAUACUGGCGGUCUAGAGGUCUGGAGAGGUGAGUGUAAUUCCUAUUGUAGAGGUGAAAUUCUUAGAUAUUCGGAGGAACACCAGUGGCGAAUGCGGCUCACUGGCCAGAUUCUGACGCUGAGGUGCGAAAUCGUUGGGAGCAAACAUG
RNAcentral lists this ribosomal RNA (253 nucleotides) under uncultured bacterium. RNAcentral describes it as "partial 16S ribosomal RNA". It matches the Rfam family "Bacterial small subunit ribosomal RNA", at positions 524 to 776 of the family's 1533-position model. The record is from RNAcentral.